RNAcentral lists this ribosomal RNA (253 nucleotides) under uncultured bacterium. RNAcentral describes it as "partial 16S ribosomal RNA". It matches the Rfam family "Bacterial small subunit ribosomal RNA", at positions 524 to 776 of the family's 1533-position model. The record is from RNAcentral.
GACAGAGGGUGCGAACGUUGCUCGGAAUCAUUGGGCGUAAAGCGCGUGUAGGUGGCUUCUCACGUCGGAUGUGAAAGCCCGGGGCUCAACCCCGGCAGUGCAUCCGAAACGAGGGAGCUAGAGUGCUGGAGAGGCGGGUGGAAUUCCCGGUGUAGAGGUGAAAUUCGUAGAUAUCGGGAGGAACACCGGUGGCGAAGGCGACCCGCUGGCCAGCGACUGACACUGAGACGCGAAAGCGUGGGGAGCAAACAGG